Hemicordylus capensis (graceful crag lizard) is the source of this 487-nucleotide long non-coding RNA. RefSeq lists it as uncharacterized. The transcript is spliced from 3 exons. The record is from RefSeq and is a predicted model, not a curated record. NCBI's taxonomy places the organism in Eukaryota, Metazoa, Chordata, Lepidosauria, Squamata, Cordylidae.
UCCCCUCCAUCUCUGCCCUCCCAUGUGAUCGGAUCCAGAGUAAAAUUGAGGCAAUCUGGGCAGCGCAUUUGAAACCCGUGCAAAUCUGGGUGGAAUUUAGCAGCCAGGUGGAGGAGCUAAAAUCCGAGGACUACCCUAAAUUCUGAGGGUCAUGACAACCGUAUCUUUGGUUGCCUCUUGACCUUGGUUAGCCAAAGUAUAGUAGAACGAUCGUGUACAGAUGGAAAUGAAAAUACACCGUGGACAAAUUGUACCCAGAGUUCCACCCUGUGCAAGGCAAGGAGGCAGACUGUCCCAAAUCAAAAGCUACAGGAAAGGGGAAUCCUGUAGAGAGUGUGGAGGACUCACACGGUGCAUUACUCGUGCUCUGGAGGGUGGGGUGGAGUUUCCCUUCACUCAACUCCUGGAGCUGCCGGAUGGCGGGAAAGCCGCCACUCAUCUUUGUCACCAAUCUGCCCGCCCAGAGCCCUGCCUGCGACAGACUGUG